UCCAGACUCCUACGGGAGGCAGCAGUGGGGGAUAUUGCACAAUGGGGGGAACCCUGAUGCAGCGACGCCGCGUGGGUGAAGGAGCGUUUCGGCGCGUAAAGCCCUAUCGGCAGGGAAGAAGGAGGACGGUACCUGACUAAGAAGCCCCGGCUAACUACGUGCCAGCAGCCGCGGUAAUACGUAGGGGGCAAGCGUUAUCCGGAUUUACUGGGUGUAAAGGGGGCGCAGACGGCAGCGCAAGCCAGGAGUGAAAGCCCGGGGCCCAACCCCGGGACUGCUCUUGGAACUGCGCGGCUGGAGUGCAGGAGGGGCAGGCGGAAUUCCUGGUGUAGCGGUGAAAUGCGUAGAUAUCAGGAGGAACACCGGUGACGAAGGCGGCCUGCUGGACUGCGACUGACGUUGAGGCCCGAAAGCGUGGGGAGCAAACAGGAUUAGAUACCCGCGUAC
RNAcentral lists this ribosomal RNA (447 nucleotides) under uncultured bacterium. RNAcentral's name for it is "partial 16S ribosomal RNA". It matches the Rfam family "Bacterial small subunit ribosomal RNA", at positions 330 to 793 of the family's 1533-position model. The record is from RNAcentral.